Molecule: ribosomal RNA, 465 nt
Filed under: uncultured bacterium
Lineage: Bacteria
Description: bacterial SSU rRNA
Rfam family: Bacterial small subunit ribosomal RNA
Source: RNAcentral
GACGAACGCUGGCGGCGUGCUUAACACAUGCAAGUCGAGCGAGGACCGCACUCUUUUGGGUGUGGAGCCGAGCGGCGAACGGGUGAGUAACACGUGAGCAACCUGCCCCUGGCUCUGGGAUAGCCCUGGGAAACCGGGAUUAAUACCGGAUAUGACCGCUGCUCGCAUGGGUGGUGGUGGAAAGGUUCCCCCUUGUGGGGUUCCGGCCGGGGAUGGGCUCGCGGCCUAUCAGCUUGUUGGUGGGGUGACGGCCUACCAAGGCGAUGACGGGUAGCCGGCCUGAGAGGGUGGACGGCCACACUGGGACUGAGACACGGCCCAGACUCCUACGGGAGGCAGCAGUAGGGAAUCUUCCGCAAUGGGCGAAAGCCUGACGGAGCGACGCCGCGUGAGCGAGGAAGGCCUUCGGGUCGUAAAGCUCUGUUGUCAGGGAAGAAGGCGCGCCGUUCGAACAGGGCGGCGCGG